CUCUUUGCUCCUGCCAUCUGCAGCCCCCUGGGGAGCCCGGGCUCGCUCACUGACGGCCCUGCCUGGUGCUCCCUCAGCCGAAGGCCCUGGUUGGAGAGCAGCGCGGAGCCCUGUCCGAGGGUCCUGGGCCAUCUCCUGUCUUCCUCUUCAUUCCUCCCCCGGGAAGUGCUGAGCCAGACCUCCAGGUGACACUCCAGGUGACAACCUGAACUGACUUCAGUGAGCGGUCCACCACCAUGGGCCAAUGUGGAGCAGGGACUUUGCUGAGUCUUGAGUCCCCACAACUCACCCCUGGCCAUGGCUUUGUGACCCGGAGGCCUGAGAUCUGCUGGGGUAACGCCAUCGAUGGGGCUCGGGGUCUUCCGACAGCUCCUGCAUGGGCUCCUGGUCCAGCUGGAAGCUGCUGCUCAGACCCAGCGUGACCCUGGCCACUGCUAGUGCAUAGGGAGGCUUCCCUGCACACCCUCUCCCGGUCCUGGGGCUCUGGGCUCCCUUCGGCUUGCUUGCUGGGCAGGGAGCCGUCCCCAUCUUGUCCUGGAGCCACCCUCCACCCCCACUGCAGCCACAGUGACCAUCAGGAUGCUGGAGGACUGAUGGUGCAGACGGUCUGCAGACCAGUCACAGUCCAGGGGCAGGUGGUGGCCGGGCAUCAGAGGGGUUGCCCCUUCCACAUUCUUGACCAGGUUGAGUCUGAAUAGGAGGAGACUUUGGCCCUGGUCACUUCUUAUUUUAUUUUUGUUAUGUUUUUAAUUAAAUCGCCUCGGUCGCUGACACCCUGGAGAGACGGGGAACCGCCGCCUUGCAGUUUGUUAAUGAUACACCAUCUGUUUGCUCCCGGUGGUCACAUGAUCUUUGCUCUGCAGAACAUCCUGUCUCACUGGCCUAAACCAGUUUGUGGGUGAAAUGCUGGGGACGAUGCCAGAAGCUUCCUCUCCCUCUCUCACACACACUCUGUCCUUUCUCCUCCUGUUUCUUCUGCUCAUCGGAGGAUGAACCGUCCCCCCAGACGGGGCGGGUUUUGCACCGGCUGUUGAUGGCAUUAAACCCCACGUCUCCAUUGCAGUCUUUCAGCCUGACUUCAAGAGUCACCAGCCAAGACCACAGCCAGCCAGGCGGCGACGGCUCUGAGAGGGGGAGGCAGAGGCCAGGAAAGGCCCCCCCGGAGCCUGGGGGCACCCCUCAGCCAGGCUCAGAGGGAAGCUGGGACCCCUCCAGGGCAGAGGAGGAAGCCACAGUGACCUGGCCACUGAGUGUUGCGUGACUCAUUUUCUCUACCUAUGAAAUUCCCCAUCACUGACUCAUCUCACAUGACGGCCUCGAUCAGAUCUCUCAAGAGUGUCCGUCUCAGGAGCUUCCAAGAGCUUUCGAUUUCAUCCACUUCAAAGAAGAAGAAAUAACAGAGGCUGACCCUCUGGUGGAAAAUUCCACCUCCCUCCCCGAAGCGCUCUCUCAUGACGUGCAGGUGGGGUGGGGGACGCGGAGAAGAAUGAGACCCUGGAGGGACUGUGCUAUGGGACAGGAUAUGCAGGCUGUGAAAUGUCACUUAAAAAGCUUUCGGAAGCCCAGCACCCCCCAGUGUUCAACACCCCCAGACGCCGGCUUCAUGGCCCGGCCCUGCCAGGCCAGGCCUCAGCCACCAUGUGGUGGCUAAGGUGACGCGCCACCAUGGUUGGAGUUUGUCCUGGGAGUGCCCUUCUGAAGGGACCAGGAGUGCAGGGGGCGUUCUGGGUAGGGUAGGAGGAGAGGGCUCAGCCCAGGAUGCCCACAGGGGAAUCUCGACAGAGCAGGGGUGCUGCCCAGGACUGUGGGCCAGGCCCCCUGCAUGCUCCCCAGGCUCCUCCCGGAGGCCCUUCUCCUCUCCGAUGGGAUUUCGCCUUUUAAUGUCACUGGGGAAGUGGGGUCGACAGUUAUCUGAUGACCACCUCCUCCUCAGGGGCCUGAGCGGCUUUAGGAUCUGGGUGUGCGCGUGUGUCUUCAUGCCAACAGACGCGUCCUCUGGUGGGGAGCGGGCUCCUGUGUGUGAUUCGUCCCGAGGUGCCUCACACUGGAGUUCGUGAAGUACGUCUCCAGUCAGCAGAGCCAAUCGCCCGGAGCCUCUUAUCACCCUCGGAUAGGAGUCUGCAGCCCAUAAAACGCAGCACACAGAGAAAACAUCUGCACCUGCGCUUCUUGGCCCCGGAGAAGGUUCUUUAGUCAUCUGUGGGUGAAGCGUAGCCAUGGUUCUUCCCCUCGGUCCCUGGAAGCCCAGAGCGGCAUCUGGACGGACAGCCGCAGGGGCCUGCUGGGAUUGGGCUCCUCUGGUUUGCUGUGGGCCCCACGAGUCAGAUGGCAACGAGGGUUUCCCUGGACAAGCCACGGGGACGCUCGUCUCAGUGUUUUCCUGAAAUGCUGCCCGAGUGAGGAGACAGUUUUGGUCCCCUGACUCAUGGGUACGGAGGCCAUGUGAGUCCAUGGAAGGGACAGAGAAGAGUGUGGCCUGUGUUGGGGGGACAAGGACACUUUUAAACUCCUGCUAAGGAUCUUGGUCCGGCUUCACCAGAAGCACUCGGUCAUUAGGUCUUGGUCUUGGUCUUUGUGCACAAAGCACAGUGACAUGCUGUCACUGCGUCCUGGAGGUGACUCUUGGACAAGGACGUAGGUCACAUAAGGUGCCCUGACCAUUAUUCUGCUGAGGACACCUGACUGCUGAUGCCCUCCUCUCGUCCAUGCACCAGAAUUGGAUGAUUUUGUGAUCCAAACAGAGCAGAAAUAUCUCAUCCCUGUCCACAGCAAAGAAAAAGCUACAGACGAGGGACGCUGCAUGUCCCCGGAACUAGAACGAAUCGCUGGGGAGGCCUCCUCCCAGGAGGGGGAUUCGGAACGCUUACCUCGGAGCGGUUUUACCCUGGAAGAAAAACGGGGACGUGUCUUUGCAAGGAGCGUCCCCCCCAGCUCCCUGGGCAGCCUGCUGCCCGCCAGUUCUUCCGGGCCCUCGCUCCCCUGAUCCUCUGCCCCCCAGCCCCACCCAUCCUGCAGGACCCAGGUCAAUCCACCUCCUACGGCAUCGGGGUCACUCCCGUCCGGUGAACUCCCACAGGACAGGCCAAAUCAGGUCACGGUUCCUACGUGGCAUAGCCAACGUGCUCUGGAAGGUUCCGGUUGGCAGAGUCUCCCAGGCAGAGGGAGGUGCCAUCUGUCAUCCACUCCCUGCAGCCGCGGCGCCACGGGGGAGGGAAGGAGUCCUCGGGGCGCCUGCCCUCAGAGGUCCCAAGGUCCUACUCACACUGUGUGGGUCAAAGCCAGCUGAGCGGCUGCUGUAGUCACCGGGGGACCCUACAGAGAGCGUGGGGAGGGAGGAGCCCGACAGCUCCUUGGAGGACAGUAAUGGCCACUGGGGAGAGCCAGCCAGCCAGCCAUGCUGCCCACAACAGGGGCCACAGCCUUCCAAGUGCUGUCACCCGGAGACUUCUCUGGCUGGAGGAAGGUGGCCUGUGGGGUCCGCCAGCGUUGACCUGGCCUUCAGAGGGCCGGCCGAGACAGAACGGCCGGCGCAGCUCCUUGGGCAGGAAGCUUCCUUCUCACUGGUGGUUGUGCCCUGGUGUCUGGCGCAGGGCUGGGGGUCUCCCUGGGAGCUUUGUCUCACCCUUCAGUCAUUCAACAAGCAAGUGCGGUACCCAGCACUCGACGUGACGCAGGAAGAGGAAAAGGAACAAGGCAAAUCUCUGUCCCCAAGGGCCCCAGGAGGUUCCAGGGCCGAGAAAGCAGACCCAGGGCUGAGUGCCACCACCCUGUGGGAGGAAGCUUCACAAAACCCCUGGAGGGACGACUGACCAAGGGAGCCAGGAAGGUUUCCCCAGGGAAGGAGAUUUGACCUGGGCCUUAGGCGGACACGGACAGGAGGUGGAAAGGAAAGGCCCGCAGUCCCACUAGAGGCCAGGUAGGAAAAGCAGAGGAGAAGGCCACCUGUCAUCUGGACUGGAGACCUCCGGGGACGGCCAGACCUAAAGGACCCGACUGUACUCAUCGUAGGCUUCGUGGGCCACGUGCAAACUCUGCCACGUAUCCUCCGUGUGCGUGAGUGUGUUUACAACCCGUAAAAAAUACAAGAGCCACUCUUGGCUGGCAGCCCUAUAAACACAGACAAGCCAGGGCACACCCACCCGGGGGCUACGACGGCACAGACGGAAACCGAUGUCAGGGGAGGGGAAUGGAACCUCACCAGUGGCCAUGGGAAUGCUGGGACGGUGCGGGGUUUGUGGAGAGCGGCCCUGGCGGUCCCCCAAAAGUAAACCCAGAGUGACCCUCCGGCCAGCAACGCUGCUCCCCGGUGUGCUUAUAUCCAGGCCAGUUGGAAACAUAUGUCCACACAAAGACUUGCCUGUGGGUGUUCGUCAGCACCAUUAUAACAGACCCAAAGCGGAAACAACCCAGAUGUUCAUCAGCGGACGGGUGAUGGGAUGGAACAGUGUCUGCUCAUAGAAGGAGUUCUGCCACUUGCCACGACCUGGGUGACUUGAAAACGUGUCGAAGGAAAGAAAGCAGACCCGGGAGCCCACCGCCGUGUGAUCCCGUUUGUGUGAAGGGUCCAGAACAGGCAAAGCCACAGACAGACAGUGAUGAGUGGCUUCCUGGCCGGACGAGUCAGGGAGGGGGUGGGACUGCUGCUAAUGGGCACAGGUUUCUUUUGGGUGUUGAAAUCUUCUGGACUUAGAUAGUAGAGAGGGUUGCAUCUGUAGAGACACUAAAGACCCCAGAAUCCUAUGCUUUAUCUGUUUUUUGUGGUGUUGAGGAUUGGACCCAGGGCUCUCCACCGGCUUAUGUCCCCAGACCUUUAAUUUUUAUUUUUAAUUUUGAGACAGGGUCUCCCUCCAACCUGGGGUCCUCCUGCCUCCACCUCUGAGUUGCUGAGUCGUGGGUACGCAUCACCACGCUUGACUAGAUGACACGCCCUAUGAAGUGUGCGUGCUGCGGCCCGUGGACCCUGUCUGGAUCUGUGUUCAGUGGCGUGUUUCUCUGUAUAUAGGAGCUGCGGGGGAACAAGCACAAGUUGCUGCAGGGGACGCUGCCCCGGAGGUUUCCACCAGGAGUAGUGCUGAGGGGUUUGGUCUUGGUCCUCCAGCAGCGGGGAGCCAUCGAAGGUCCCAGCCUGGGAGCAGCACCAGCAGGAAGUGCUCCGUAGACCUGGGGACCGGCUGGGCAGGGAGGAGGCACACUGGAUCCCGCCAAGGGCACGGUGCACACUGAGUCCAGGAGCUCAGGAGGAGGCACGGCGGCCACUGGUCCCCACCAAGGGCAUGGUACACACUGAGUCCAGGAGCUAGGGAGACGGCGGGCAAUCACAGGGCGCCUCUCCCUCCAGAGCGCCCUCCUCAUCCAGGUGGAGAGCGUCAGGACCGAGCAGCAGGAAGUUAUGUUCUGAAUCCAAGAAGAUCAGAGAACCGGGGCUGGAGAGACACACCUGGGAGCCAGCAGUGCGCAGGCGGGACACGGAGAGGAACUGCCGCAGACCUUAGAGGACCCAGGAUGGAAACCAGGGCCUCUGCACUGAAGGGACAGGGAGAGGGCAGAAGGGGAGGUCAGAGCAGGAGGUUCCGAGGAGGGUGAAGCUGGAUGGUCCCAGGCAGGCGUCUCAGGCAAGAAGGGACCAAAGGAGCCUCUGCAGUUGGUGUUAGAGGCCACCACUCCUGACGAGAGCCACAGCCACGUCAUGACGGGGAUUAAGCUGUCCACCUGCCAAGGGUCAGAGGAGAACGGCGGCGGCAGCAGGAACCAGGAGGUAGAUGGAGCCGGAGCCUUGGAGCAAGCAGCAGGCACGGACGUGGGGUGGCAGAGGGAAGGUGGAAGACACAACCUGUCAGCAGGCCGAGGAGGAAGAGGGUGGCAGCAUCUCCUGCUAUCAAACGAGGAGAAGGAUCAGAGCGGGAGGCUGGGACGCUGCCCAGAGUCCGGAGAAGGGGCGGCCCCAGCUCAGCCGUUCCAGGGCGCCUGAUCUUGUCCUGCUUGUGGGGAGAAGACCCAGGCUCGAGGCCCAAAGGAAGUGGAGGCAGGCAGGGCUCCCCUCACACCGGAGUCCUGCGGCCUCUACCCUGGAGUCUGGUUAGAUGUCUGGUUGGGUAUGCUGGCAACAUCACUGCGGUGGUGGAUGGCAUGUGUUAUUUAGUCAGUGUGGCCGAGGUUGCUGUGAAAGGAUUUGGUGGGUGGGGUUCACAUUUACAAUCCAUUGGCCAGAAAGAGAGGAAGCUACUCUCAAGCCUGGUGGACCUUGUCCAGUCAGUUGGGGGCCUAAGAGCCAAACCCGAGGUCCCCAGGGAAGAUAUCCUGCCUCAGUGGUCACCACAGCAGUGGGGAGGAGAAACAGGGAUUUCAUGUGCACUGAGUACAGCUUCAGUGGGGAAGGGUAGGCAGGAGGAGGCUGCCUGGGGAGGCCGAGGCAAGAGGAUCCCACGCUCAAAGCCAGCUUCAGCAACUUAGCAAGACCCCAAGCAACUCAGUGAGAUACUGUCUUUAAAUAAAAUGUAAAAAGGGCUGGAGAUGUGGCUCAGGGGUUAAGUGCCCUAGGGUUCAAUUCCUGGUACAAAAAAAAAAAAUCUGUUGCUCAUAAGCUACAUAGUUUGUGGUGCCUUAUUACAGCUGCCCAAAUGGACAAAAAUUACCACAAUUAAAAACAAAGCCAAAGAGCUGCACUGCAACCCACCUAGACCCCUAGGCUGCAGGUCUGCCCUGCAAUUUUAGAUGUGGCAGCCCCUCUGACCACGAUGGACCCAACUCCUUAAAAUACAUCUCUCCAUAAAUCUGCCCUGUAGGCUCCGUGUCUCUGGCCAACCCUGACUGACGGUGGUCUUUAGACCUGGGCUCAGCCAUUAGCAAUUUGGUAACUGGAAGCCUGACGUGACUCCCUGGCUCGGGUCAGUGGACAUCUGGUGGAGAUUCCAUUCUGUUCUGCGAUGAGACACUCUGGCCAGCUUGGACCCUGCCCACCCUCGCCCUCCUCUUCUCUCUUAUCCUAGGUGGGAUCUGGAGUCGGGGCCGUUGGGGCAGCCUCCGGUGUUGUGAAUGGAGAAGGGCACACCCAGCCCCUGACCCUCGGCUCUGGCCUCGGUUUCUGGCCUCUAUUAAGAAUGGCCUAUCCCACCCGGUCCUGGACAUGGCCGACCAUCCCUGUGACCCCUAUGGUGGCGUCCAAGAGCCCACUGGGGCCUCUGGUGAUCAAGUCUUGUGCUCUUUGUCCCAGCCAGCCUGAUCGGAGGCUUCUUCUGGCCCCUGAUGCUCAGAGUCACUUGAGUGUCCCUCUCCUGGGGUUGGGACCUCUUAUCUAGUUUUUGUCAACCACACUGGGUGCGUGGGUCUCCAGAAGGCUGCACGUGAGCUCAUCCGUUCAAGUACCUUCGAGGAGCUUUUUGGGAAGGCUGUCCUCUCUGGGGUCAGGGGGACCGGGGUCAGGAGAGGGCAUUUUGGGGGUUGACAAUGCCAGUCUAUAAUGUGUGCACAGGCAGUGCUACAACAUUUUUCUCUCCCCAACCGGCCAGACCUUCCUCUGAUCCAGAGAAGCAGUGUGUGCAAAGAACACAGGGUUAGCCGUCAGUGAUGCAGGUUCUCGCCCCAGCCUCCCGCCCCUGCCUGGUCCCGGGUGAGCUCCUCACGGGGCCUGAGCCUUGGUUCCCCCAACAGCAACGCCAAGAGCAGGGUGGUCUGCAGGUGCUGCAGCCGGUCUCCUGUGGCACGUCUGUAGGAGCUCAGGGUCUGGGACCGC
Molecule: long non-coding RNA, 7729 nt
Filed under: Marmota monax (woodchuck)
Lineage: Eukaryota; Metazoa; Chordata; Mammalia; Rodentia; Sciuridae
Source: RNAcentral